UAGAGUUUUGAUCAUGGCUCAGGACGAACGCUGGCGGCGUGCCUAAUACAUGCAAGUCGAGCGGACUGAUGGGAGCUUGCUCCCUGAAGUCAGCGGCGGACGGGUGAGUAACACGUGGGUAACCUGCCUGUAAGACUGGGAUAACUCCGGGAAACCGGGGCUAAUACCGGAUAGUUCUUUUCCUCGCAUGAGGAAAAGUGGAAAGGCGGCUUCGGCUGCCACUUACAGAUGGACCCGCGGCGCAUUAGCUAGUUGGUGAGGUAACGGCUCACCAAGGCAACGAUGCGUAGCCGACCUGAGAGGGUGAUCGGCCACACUGGGACUUAGACACGGCCCAAACUCCUACGGGAGGCAGCAGUAGGGAAUCUUCCGCAAUGGACGAAAGUCUGACGGAACAACGCCGCGUGAGUGAUGAAGGUUUUCGGAUCGUAAAGCUCUGUUGUUAGGGAAGAACAAGUGCCGUUCGAAUAGGGCGGCCCCUUGACGGUACCUAACCAGAAAGCCACGGSU
This 510-nucleotide ribosomal RNA is filed under the name Bacillus sp. SP54. RNAcentral describes it as "bacterial SSU rRNA". It matches the Rfam family "Bacterial small subunit ribosomal RNA", at positions 1 to 498 of the family's 1533-position model. Lineage: Bacteria; Bacillati; Bacillota; Bacilli; Caryophanales; Bacillaceae. The record is from RNAcentral.